UUGGGUACCUACAAUGUGGUAGUUACCAAGAUAGUCACUAGAAAUAUAGAACUCAUGGAACUUACGUUCAAAGUGGGGUGGGAGCAGAUUUAAAGGAGAAACAAAAAGAGCAUGGUAUAUAAUGGUAAGAAGUGAUCAGGUCCAUGAGACAGAGCUGCAAGCAAAGGAAACUCCUCUUGAAAUGGUAACAGUUUUCAAAAUGUGGUUGCACAUCCUUCCUAGGGAGUGGGGAUAGAGGCUGAAACACUCUCAGGGAGUCCACAAGUCAAGAUAAUUUUCAUAAUAACACUAAGAUGUUAGUUUCCACUUUUCAUUGUGUAGUAGUUCCCCCUUUAUUCACAGUUUCACUUUCUGUGGCUUCAGUUACCCAAAGCCAACUGUGGUCCAAAAAUAUUAAAUGGAAAUUCCAGAAAUAAAUAUUUCUCAAGUUUUAAGUUGCCACCAUUCUAAGUAACAUGAUGAACUCUCAUGCUGUCCUGUUCAAUCCUGCUGAGGAUUUGAAUCAUUCCUUUGUUCAGCAUGUCCAUGCUAUAUGUGCUACUCUCCCAUUAGUCACUCAGUAGCCAUCUUGGUUAUUAGAUCAACUGUCACUGUACUGCAAUGCUUCCAUUCUAUACUCUUAAAGGGUAGCCUAAUACUAUGUCACAGUGCUUAUGUAAUUCACUUCAUUUCAUCUCAUCAUGGGGGAAUUGUAUCAUAUUAUCCCAAGAAGGUUGAGCACAAUAAGAUAUUUUGAGACACAUACACACACACACACACACACCUCAUUCACAAAAUUUUAUUAAAGCAUAUUAUUAUAAUUGUUCUAUUUAUUAU
RNAcentral lists this long non-coding RNA (816 nucleotides) under Marmota monax (woodchuck). The record is from RNAcentral. Lineage: Eukaryota; Metazoa; Chordata; Mammalia; Rodentia; Sciuridae.